UACGAGGGGGGCAAGCGUUGUUCGGAAUUAUUGGGCGUAAAGGGUGCGUAGGCGGUUUGAUAAGUCUGAUGUGAAAUCUCUGGGCUCAACCCAGAGUCUGCAUCGGAAACUGUCGGGCUUGAGUAUGGGAGAGGUGAGUGGAAUUUCCGGUGUAGCGGUGAAAUGCGUAGAUAUCGGAAGGAACACCAGUGGCGAAAGCGGCUUCCUGGUCCAGCACCGACGUUCAGGCACGAAAGCGUGGGGAGCAAACAGG
This 253-nucleotide ribosomal RNA is filed under the name uncultured bacterium. RNAcentral describes it as "partial 16S ribosomal RNA". It matches the Rfam family "Bacterial small subunit ribosomal RNA", at positions 524 to 776 of the family's 1533-position model. The record is from RNAcentral.